This 440-nucleotide ribosomal RNA is filed under the name uncultured bacterium. RNAcentral describes it as "partial 16S ribosomal RNA". It matches the Rfam family "Bacterial small subunit ribosomal RNA", at positions 338 to 795 of the family's 1533-position model. The record is from RNAcentral.
CCUACGGGAGGCAGCAGUGGGGGAUAUUGCACAAUGGGGGAAACCCUGAUGCAGCGACGCCGCGUGGGUGAAGAAGCGCCUCGGCGCGUAAAGCCCUGUCAGCAGGGAAGAAAAUGACGGUACCUGAAGAAGAAGCCCCGACUAACUACGUGUCAGCAGCCGCGGUAAUACGUAGGGGGAAAGCGUUAUCCGGAUUUACUGGGUGUAAAGGGGGCGCAGACGGCGAUGCAAGCCAGGAGUGAAAGCCCGGGGCCCAACCCCGGGACUGCUCUUGGAACUGCGUGGCUAGAGUGCAGGAGGGGCAGGCGGAAUUCCUGGUGUAGCGGUGAAAUGCGUAGAUAUCAGGAGGAACACCGGUGGCGAAGGCGGCCUGCUGGACUGCAACUGACGUUGAGGCCCGAAAGCGUGGGGAGCAAACAGGAUUAGAUACCCGAGUAGUC